This 196-nucleotide unclassified non-coding RNA is filed under the name uncultured Russulaceae. RNAcentral describes it as "sequence contains ITS1". The record is from RNAcentral. Lineage: Eukaryota; Fungi; Basidiomycota; Agaricomycetes; Russulales; Russulaceae.
UCGUAAAAACGAGAUGCGAGGGCUGUCGCUGACCUUUUCGGUUGUGCACGCCCGAGCGCUCUCACACAAUCCAUCUCACCUCUUGUGCACCACCGCGUGGGUUUCCUUUCUGGCUUGUCCGGAAGGGGGGCUCGCGUUUUCACACAAACUUGAAGUAGUGUAGAAUGUCCUUUUUUGCAAUAACAUGCAAUCAAUA